AUUGAACGCUAGCGGGAUGCUUUACACAUGCAAGUCGAACGGCAGCGCGGACUUCGGUCUGGCGGCGAGUGGCGAACGGGUGAGUAAUGUAUCGGAACGUGCCCAGUAGCGGGGGAUAACUACGCGAAAGCGUAGCUAAUACCGCAUACGCUCUACGGGGGAAAGCAGGGGAUCGUAAGACCUUGCACUAUUGGAGCGGCCGAUAUCGGAUUAGCUAGUUGGUGAGGUAACGGCUCACCAAGGCGACGAUCCGUAGCUGGUUUGAGAGGACGACCAGCCACACUGGGACUGAGACACGGCCCAGACUCCUACGGGAGGCAGCAGUGGGGAAUUUUGGACAAUGGGGGCAACCCUGAUCCAGCCAUCCCGCGUGUGCGAUGAAGGCCUUCGGGUUGUAAAGCACUUUUGGCAGGAAAGAAACGUCGCGGGCUAAUACCCCGUGGAACUGACGGUACCUGCAGAAUAAGCACCGGCUAACUACGUG
Molecule: ribosomal RNA, 484 nt
Filed under: uncultured bacterium
Lineage: Bacteria
Description: partial 16S ribosomal RNA
Rfam family: Bacterial small subunit ribosomal RNA
Source: RNAcentral